AUUUAAGCACAUACCUGAACGAACAGAUUCUUACCAUAUUGUAUUAUAUAAAUGUUUUAAAUGCGGUGUUUUGUUGUCAUGCCAAAUUAAAGGUUUUAUUACCUUUCAUUUGGCGGUUCACUCUGCUAUCACGAACAAAAUAAUCUUUUUGUCAGCGUGGAACAUAAGUUAAUUUUCUACUUUUUGGCACAAGAGGAAUUUUAGAACAAGAGCAUUAGGUAAUCUUAAUGCAGCAAGCACAAAUAUUUCAUUAUUUUUAUUCUGAACUCACCUUUAACCCUGUCUUCAUAUAAGAAAUCAGAUAACUGAUCAGCAAUGUAAGAAACACUUUAAUGGAACACACAAACCUGAUUAGACAUGUUUUUACAAAUUUUAGUUGGCAUUCUACAGAAACAAAGGAUUUAAAGAUUAGAUAGUGAAAUUCUACUCAGAAUCUGCUUUGAUUUAACCUACUACCUUGCAAGUAAAAACCUAUUUUAGUUGCAAAAGAGGCAACCUUCAUGCCUUAUAAUAUAAUGUGUAAGUAUUAAUUUUUAUUAUUACACUUGUUUACAGUGAGAAAACUUGGGUCAGCCAAACGAUUGUUCCCAAAAAUAGAAAAUAUUUAAUGACAUUGGAAUUUUGUCCGAAUGUCAGUCUGGCUCAGUAAGACUUUGAAACUUAAAUUCCAGUUUUUAAAUUUAUCAUCAAUAAUCCCAUCAAUCAUCUCGUUUUAUGGUGUCACAGGUGAAUUUCAGAAUCACAAAACAAAAUGAACAUGCAUCCACCAUUGUGAAUUUCUAUUGGUUUGUGAUUCAAGUACAUUUCAGCUCGCAGUUCAGAAAUUCAACCAAUCCCACGAUUGGCCCAAAUUCAGACAAACUGUAGUUUGGACCAAAAUAAAUCUAAGUAUAAUUAUAAUGAGGUAUAAAUGUGAAAUAAACAUCAUUACUUGUUUUUGCAAAUAUUUGUGAAUCUAAUCGAAUGAUUAGUAGCUCAGUGUGCCGUUCAUUGGCUGAGAAUGGUCAGCUGAUACUCUCAGUCAAUGAAUGUGGAUUAGCUUGUAGCUUGGCAGCUCUACAGAAGCAGGAAGCAUGUCGUCACGGUGGCAAGGAGACUCGGAAUCCAGUAGGGACCCAGGUUAGAUAGAAAACCAUUACUAAAUGGUUUGCCCCAAUACCCAAUAUGAUAAAGGCCAAAGUGAAGUGUCGAUUUUGUGCCUCUUUGAAGUGAAAUAUAAUAUUACAUUGGAACCAAUUUGUGAACCGAAUGUAAUUCAUGAAUGUCACAUCACAACAUCACCACCACAUUUUCAUAAAAAAUAUGUACGCAUAACCUUUAUUAGAAAAGUAGGAUGCAUAGCAAAUUAGGACAUAAAGCAUAAUUUGGUGAAUAUUGCUAUUUGGAGUUUCUUUAAAAUAAUAACUUAUAUUAAUUAAAGUACCAUAUAUACUCAAGUAUAAGUCUAGUUUUUCAGCACAUUAUUUGUGCUGAAAAAUCCCCACUCGACUUAUACUCGAGUCAGUGUCUGUAUUAUGGCAACUUACAUUGCCAUAAUACAGACCAGGACCGCCAGGCUCAUUACAAGCCCGGUGGUCCUGUUGGGGGCUGGCAGAUAGCUGUUACUUACCUUCCUGCAGCUCCUGUCAGCUCCCUUCUCCUCCACUGUAAGUCUCGCGGUGUGACUGCCGCGCGGAGCCUUGCCACGGUAAUCCGUGGCAACGCUAUGACCGCGCGGCUCUCGCGAGACUUGCAGUGGAGCUGGCCGGACCAGUGGAGAAAGGAG
Molecule: non-coding RNA, 1765 nt
Organism: Pelobates cultripes (western spadefoot toad)
Lineage: Eukaryota; Metazoa; Chordata; Amphibia; Anura; Pelobatidae
Source: the annotation of a GenBank genome assembly